RNAcentral lists this ribosomal RNA (375 nucleotides) under uncultured eukaryote. Its description in RNAcentral is "partial 18S ribosomal RNA". It matches the Rfam family "Eukaryotic small subunit ribosomal RNA", at positions 591 to 976 of the family's 1831-position model. The record is from RNAcentral.
CCAAGAGCGUAUGUAAAAGUUGUUGCAGUUAAAAAGCUCGUAGUUGAACCUUGGGUUUGGUUGGCCGGUCCGCUUUUUUGCGAGUACUGGAUUCAACCGAGCCUUUCCUUCUGGCUAACCAGUCGUUUCGGCGGCUGGCGAACCAGGAUUUUUACUUUGAGAAAAUUAGAGUGUUCAAAGCAGGCAUUAGCUUGAAUAUAUUAGCAUGGAAUAAUGGAAUAGGACGUUAUGGUUCUAUUUUGUUGGUUUCUAGGACCAUCGUAAUGAUUAAUAGGGACGGUCGGGGGCAUCAGUAUUCAGUUGUCAGAGGUGAAAUUCUUGGAUUUACUGAAGACUAACUACUGCGAAAGCAUUUGCCAAGGACGUUUUCAUUAA